Centrocercus urophasianus (Greater sage-grouse) is the source of this 3485-nucleotide long non-coding RNA. RefSeq lists it as uncharacterized. Lineage: Eukaryota; Metazoa; Chordata; Aves; Galliformes; Phasianidae. The transcript is spliced from 4 exons. The record is from RefSeq and is a predicted model, not a curated record.
AAAAAGACUUUGUACUGGAAUGGAUGAGAAAAAUAAUAGUAAUGAUAAUAAUAGGUCACUCUGAAAGUACUGCCUCUUAUUUCUGUGGAAACUGUAAACAUAUAAAGAGCACAACAUUCUAUGGAGCAAAUUCUCAGUUACAGAAUGCUAUUUUUUUAUUUUCAACACAAUCAAAAUCAUUGACUUUUUUUUUUUUUGCCUGCAAAAGCUUCCAGGCUGUGCUUGUAAAAGAAGCAAAACAAACAAAAAAACACCUUAGAGCACCUCGCAGAGGUGACCCAUAAUCACUACUGCUGAGCUGCUCAACCUGCCACCUCGUUGUGCUCGCAUCCACUGUUUGGUUUCAGUAAAUGUUCAGCAGUUAUCUGAAAUUGGAUAUGACCUUUAUUCUGCAAUUACACACCUUUCCUCAUGUGCACCUUCUGUCAGUUUUGUCAGACUGUUUCUCUCCUGCAAUUUGUCUCAUGGCAAUAAAAUAUAAUUGAGUUCUGGUGGGAAGGUUCAUCCCCUACUGCCAUACCACUAUCAUCUGCCUGUGACGUUUUGGACAUGCAUAAUAAAGUAGGAGGCAUUACUUUCAGAGCAGCCAUUAUAUGUAUUUACAAAACAAGUGGUGCAUAAUAAAAUUGUUCAUCCCACCAACCAAUGCUCAGCCAGUCCCUGAGUAACAGCUGACCCCUACAGCCUUGACCAGUUUAGGUCAGCAGUUCUACUUUUGUCUCCUCCCAGCUCAUUGUACCGCCUUAGCCUCCCUUGCUGGCAGGACAGUAUGAGAAGCUGAAAAACUGGAAUGUCCUAACUCUCUGCAGCGCUGUUAAUCAACAACUACAACAUUCGUGUGUUACCAACAUUGCAUCAUACCAUUAUGAAGAAAGUAACAGUCCCAGCCAAAACCAGGUCAGCUUGCUAACAAGUGAACUGUGCAUAAGUUUUAGAUGUGUGCGUUCAUCAGUACCUUAAAAAAUGAGAAAUAAUGUUCAAAUAAUUAGAAGAUUAGAACUGAGCUUAAAACAUGUCAGACAACAGUGAACCAACCAAUGCUGAAAAGAAUUUUUGAACGGAAAAUUUGAUAUGACCUACAGCACAGGGAUAUGGCAAAUUUCAUCCCAAAAUGCCUGGACUUCUGACUAGUAAUCCCAGCUGACUGCUGUUUGUAUAGUAAAAGGCCAGUUCUGCAAUGCCUGCCAGAUUGUUUGUGUUAGAGGGAGCCUCAGCAACACUUCUAUAGCCAAGUCAGGUCAACACUUCUGUCUGAAAAGAGAAGCAGAUCUUAGCAGCCUGAGGAUGCAAAAUCAAGUAAUGGCCAUUUCUACAGACAUGAAGAUCUCUGCCCUGCCUCCCCCAGACAUGUGUAUUAUGCCAGGAGAACUAGCGGAGAGAUGUAAGGAGUUGCAGAGGGAUAAAAGCCAUAGGAGGAGGAGAGAAGAUGUGAGCAGAAUGAGGAAUGAGCUAAUCAGCUAACAAAACAAAGGACUGGACAACUGACAAUACAUUUCUAAAAUGACUGAAAUACGACAAAAAUUUGAAACUUAAAAGAACAAUUAGAAUUUUCCUUAUAUCCUUCCACAUUGUACACCCUGCUUCUGUGGGCAAGAGUGAUAAUUCUGUGUUCACCACUAGAGGGAUGAUUUUAUACAGAACUAUCAUCAUUAUUAAAUCUUGAAUCCAUGUUUAUUUAAUACCCUGGAUUGUAUGUGCACAUGUCAUAGUUUGUGAAGAACUAUUUGUUUCCCCUCUUCCAUUCUAACUGAGAAUAUUAUUGAGGUAACCAAAAAACAACAAACAAACAGUAAAAUUCAGACAUAUUUCAGACCUACUUCAGAAUGCAGUGAUUACAUUUUAUUUCACUUUUUAAAAACAUUUUUGAAUUUGGAUUCCAAAGAAAAAUCAGUGUCAGUAAGGAGGUCUGACAUAAGUUUUCUAAGAAGAACUGAAUCUGUAGACUUUGCAACAACAGCAGUGAAUGAACACCAUUCUAAUUUAGAAAGAAUAAAAUGAUGGUCAUACAGAAGUAUUCCAAAAGGAAUUAUUUGAAAUAGAAUGAAAGCAUUUUCUUCUAUUAAAACAAAUAGCUCAUUCAUGUAUGAUGAAAGAGUGCUCUUAUUUUACUUGAAAAGAAAAAAAUAAGGCUGAAAGUAAAUUGUGAGGUAAGAUAAUGCUGAAUUUAGUUAGUUUAAUAUUUACUUCGUAGACUGAAGACUUCAGAAGUCAACAGAUUUCUUGCUUCUCUGUGGAGAGAUUUAGAUUUCCUUAGUUCUCUACAUCCUUUGAAUUCUACUCUGAAGCAGAUGUAUACAUUUUAUUUUGGCUGCCAGCCAUAGUAAAACAUGAAAUAGAUAUAUAACUUAUAUGAUUCUUUAAUAAAUCUGUUUCCUUUAUUAUCAGAAAAUAUCCUCCCCUAACCCCAGCUUUAGGUCUAGGAAGUGGGAAUUAAAUUUUGUGUAGGAAAUCACUGGGUUCUGUCCUUUGAUGGUAAAGAGCCAUGUUCAGACUGGAAAGCAAGCUAGCCUGCUGCCUUUGAGCCAGUGGGGACAGAUUAUUACCAAAAUGUUUUUCCCACUUUUAAUCUUACAGAUCAUGCUUUAAAUCCUACCUGUGCUCUAUUGUAAAGUGGGCUGAAUGUUCUGCCGUUAGCACAGUUUCUACUGACUUCUAAACAGUCAAUUGUACAAGUCCACAUCAAACAUGCUGUCUGGUAAUAGUGCUAGUAUUGCUAACAGUGUUUUCUGGGUUGUAACUAGUGAGAAGUUCAGUAGAAACAAUAAGGAACCUGUUUUCAGUAAAAAGGGUAUAUUUGCUAAAUUAAGGAAAAAUUCAUGAAGGAAGGAUACGCAAGAAGUGAUAUUUCAUUAUAGAUUUCUCCAAAUGAGCAGAUACAAUCUUUGUGCCUCCUUUAAGGACAUAAAUGUAGAACAGUCCUGCUUGGAAGUUUCAUUUAGGUCUUCUUUUUUAUUGUACUUCCCCAGCUUUUCCUUGGAUAAGAUUUGUUUUGCUUUGUUUUGUAUUUAAUUGCCUGUAGCAUUGUGUAUUAUUUCAAUACCAUAGUUCUGAUAUGCUUUAGUGAUACACGACUAAACUCUGGUGAGGUGAAGUGAUUUAUUACUUUUUCUUUUAAUUGGGUUUUUGUUUGCACAUCUAACAAGGCCUUGUUAAUGGUAAUUGAAUAAACAGAGAAAAUGUUUGGACAGUGCUCUAAUGCUGUAAACAGUCUAUCAUUUUCUUAUGAGAAACUACCUCCUUGAACAUUGAGAGCUUUCUUUUAGUUACUAAAAGCCUUAAAGGAAAUGCAGAUGAAGGUACUGUGUGUUAUACGACUCUUGUUUCCACAGAGCUUUCAUUUAUUUUAGUACUCAUUAAUAUAGUACUCAUUAAUAUAAUGUUACCUAAAACAAGGCCUCAUAGAACUUAACCUUUUGAAAUCUUGUUGUAUACUUAACAAUGAAAAAUGCAGUAAGAGCAGCAUGAUUUGAAAUAAAUAUAUUUUA